Molecule: ribosomal RNA, 541 nt
Filed under: uncultured bacterium
Lineage: Bacteria
Description: bacterial SSU rRNA
Rfam family: Bacterial small subunit ribosomal RNA
Source: RNAcentral
UGAGGAAUAUUGGUCAAUGGACGAGAGUCUGAACCAGCCAAGUAGCGUGAAGGAUGAAGGCCCUAUGGGUCGUAAACUUCUUUUAUAGGGGAAUAAAGUGCGGAACGUGUUCCGCUUUGUAUGUACCCUACGAAUAAGGAUCGGCUAACUCCGUGCCAGCAGCCGCGGUAAUACGGAGGAUCCGAGCGUUAUCCGGAUUUAUUGGGUUUAAAGGGAGCGUAGGUGGAUAUAUAAGUCAGUUGUGAAAGUUUGCGGCUCAACCGUAAAAUUGCAGUUGAUACUGUAUGUCUUGAGUGUACAAGAGGUGGGCGGAAUUCGUGGUGUAGCGGUGAAAUGCUUAGAUAUCACGAAGAACUCCGAUUGCGAAGGCAGCUCACUAGCGUACAACUGACACUGAGGCUCGAAAGUGUGGGUAUCAAACAGGAUUAGAUACCCUGGUAGUCCACACAGUAAACGAUGAAUACUCGCUGUUUGCGAUAUACAGUAAGCGGCCAAGCGAAAGCAUUAAGUAUUCCACCUGGGGAGUACGCCGGCAACGGUG